This 506-nucleotide ribosomal RNA is filed under the name uncultured bacterium. RNAcentral's name for it is "partial 16S ribosomal RNA". It matches the Rfam family "Bacterial small subunit ribosomal RNA", at positions 29 to 523 of the family's 1533-position model. The record is from RNAcentral.
AGUGAACGCUGGCGGUAGGCCUAACACAUGCAAGUCGAACGGCAGCACAGGAGAGCUUGCUCUCUGAGUGGCGAGUGGCGGACGGGUGAGGAAUACAUCGGAAUCUACUCUGUCGUGGGGGAUAACGUAGGGAAACUUACGCUAAUACCGCAUACGACCUACGGGUGAAAGCAGGGGACCUUCGGGCCUUGCGCGAUUGAAUGAGCCGAUGUCGGAUUAGCUAGUUGGCGGGGUAAAGGCCCACCAAGGCGACGAUCCGUAGCUGGUCUGGGGGGAUGAUCAGCCACCCUGGAACUGAGACACGGUCCAGACUCCUACGGGAGGCAGCAGUGGGGAAGAUUGGACAAUGGGCGCAAGCCUGAUCCAGCCAUACCGCGUGGGUGAAGAAGGCCUUCGGGUUGUAAAGCCCUUUUGUUGGGAAAGAAAUCCAGCUGGCUAAUACCCGGUUGGGAUGACGGUACCCAAAGAAUAAGCACCGGCUAACUUCGUGCCAGCCGCCACCGUAA